This is a non-coding RNA of Linderina pennispora, 392 nucleotides long. It matches the Rfam family "Nuclear RNase P". Rfam says of the family: Ribonuclease P (RNase P) is a ubiquitous endoribonuclease, found in archaea, bacteria and eukarya as well as chloroplasts and mitochondria. Its best characterised activity is the generation of mature 5'-ends of tRNAs by cleaving the 5'-leader elements of precursor-tRNAs. NCBI's taxonomy places the organism in Eukaryota, Fungi, Kickxellomycota, Kickxellomycetes, Kickxellales, Kickxellaceae. The record is from Rfam.
UAGACAGCAAAACCUGCGCUUAGGCGUUACUUUAUCUAAAAGAUAGACGCUUGGGGUAAAGUCCGAGAGAAGCCAUGUAAGCCUCUUGCGGAGGGUCCUGCGAACAGCGGGGCGGGAGCGACCAGCAAACUGGGGGAUUUAUUCUGCCUGUUAGCGGGUCCCGCGCCUGCGAGGCUGAUUCCCAGUCUGGCGAGGGCAGUUGACGGCCAACAGCGGCCCGAUGCCCGCCGGUGGGGAGCCCGAGGCCUUGCAGCGCGCCGGGAGUCCUUGGCAGAGCCACGGUCCCCCGCCGUUGGAAAUAUGCUCUCUGGCGGCAGCUCAAUGCAGUGCAAUGCGCAGGGUGCUCGCAGCAAGUGCGGGCAUUCACCCAAUUCGGAUUAAUUUGCUAUCUA